UACAGAGGUCCCAAGCGUUGUUCGGAUUCACUGGGCGUAAAGGGUGCGUAGGUGGUGGACUAAGUCGGGUGUGAAAUCUCCGGGCUCAACCCGGAGGGUGCGCCCGAAACUGGUCUGCUCGAGGAUGGGAGGGGAGACUGGAAUUCUCGGUGUAGCAGUGAAAUGCGUAGAUAUCGAGAGGAACACCAGUGGCGAAGGCGAGUCUCUGGACCAUUCCUGACACUGAGGCACGAAAGCCGGGGGAGCAAACAGG
RNAcentral lists this ribosomal RNA (253 nucleotides) under uncultured bacterium. Its description in RNAcentral is "partial 16S ribosomal RNA". It matches the Rfam family "Bacterial small subunit ribosomal RNA", at positions 524 to 776 of the family's 1533-position model. The record is from RNAcentral.